UUUCGGUCCUCCCGCAAUGAAGUCCUGUGAACCCCGCCAGGCCCGGAAGGGAGCAACGGUAGCAGACACUUUAUGUGCCGGGAUGUGGCUGACUGGG
Non-coding RNA from Simiduia agarivorans SA1 = DSM 21679, 97 nucleotides. It matches the Rfam family "Bacterial small signal recognition particle RNA". Rfam says of the family: The signal recognition particle (SRP) is a universally conserved ribonucleoprotein involved in the co-translational targeting of proteins to membranes. Archaeal SRP consists of a 7S RNA and homologues of the eukaryotic SRP19 and SRP54 proteins. NCBI's taxonomy places the organism in Bacteria, Pseudomonadati, Pseudomonadota, Gammaproteobacteria, Cellvibrionales, Cellvibrionaceae. The record is from Rfam.